This 600-nucleotide ribosomal RNA is filed under the name uncultured archaeon. RNAcentral's name for it is "bacterial SSU rRNA". It matches the Rfam family "Archaeal small subunit ribosomal RNA", at positions 154 to 737 of the family's 1478-position model. The record is from RNAcentral.
UGAUAGGUCAUCUCAUCUGGAAGGAGAGAUGGCUUAAAGGGGUACGCGGGCUUCUUCCGCGAAUCUGCUCCAGGAUGGGACUGCGUCCGAUCAGGCUGUUGGCGGGGUAAUGGCCCACCAAACCUGUAACCGGUACGGGCCUUGAGAGAGGUGGCCCGGAGAUGGACACUGAGAGAAGGGUCCAGGUCCUACGGGGCGCAGCAGGCGCGAAACCUUCGCAAUGCGCGAAAGCGUGACGAGGUUAAUCCGAGUGACUCCCGCUGAGGGGGUCUUUUGUCAUCUGUAAAUAGGCAGGCGAAUAAGGGGAGGGCAAGCCUGGUGUCAGCCGCCGCAGUAAUACCAGCUCCUCGAGUGGUCGGGGCGAUUAUUGGGCCUAAAGCAUCCGUAGCCGGUUCCGUAGGUCCUCUGUUAAAUCCAACCGCUUAACGGUUGACCUGCAGAGGAUACCGCGGGACUAGGAGGCGGGAGAGGCGGACGGUACUCCGCGUGUAGGGGUAAAAUCCCUUUGAUCCGCGGAAGACCACCAGUGGCGAAGGCGGUCCGCCAGAACGCGCUCGACGGUGAGGGAUGAAGCUGGGGGAGCGAACCGGAUUAGAUACC